AUUGAACGCUGGCGGCAGGCCUAACACAUGCAGGUCGAGCGGAUGAAGGGAGCUUGCUCCUGGAUUCAGCGGCGGACGGGUGAGUAAUGCCUAGGAAUCUGCCUGGUAGUGGGGGAUAACGUCCGGAAACGGGCGCUAAUACCGCAUACGUCCUGAGGGAGAAAGUGGGGGAUCUUCGGACCUCACGCUAUCAGAUGAGCCUAGGUCGGAUUAGCUAGUUGGUGGGGUAAAGGCCUACCAAGGCGACGAUCCGUAACUGGUCUGAGAGGGUGAUCAGUCACACUGGAACUGAGACACGGUCCAGACUCCUACGGAGGCAGCAGUGGGGAAUAUUGGACAAUGGGCGAAAGCCUGAUCCAGCCAUGCCGCGUGUGUGAAGAAGGUCUUCGGAUUGUAAAGCACUUUAAGUUGGGAGGAAGGGCAGUAAGUUAAUACCUUGCUGUUUUGACGUUACCAACAGAAUAAGCACCGGCUAACUUCGUG
Molecule: ribosomal RNA, 483 nt
Filed under: uncultured bacterium
Lineage: Bacteria
Description: partial 16S ribosomal RNA
Rfam family: Bacterial small subunit ribosomal RNA
Source: RNAcentral